This 481-nucleotide ribosomal RNA is filed under the name uncultured bacterium. RNAcentral describes it as "bacterial SSU rRNA". It matches the Rfam family "Bacterial small subunit ribosomal RNA", at positions 1 to 499 of the family's 1533-position model. The record is from RNAcentral.
CCUUUAGAGUUUGAUCCUGGCUCAGGACGAACGCUGGCGGCGCGCCUAACACAUGCAAGUCGAACGAGCGAGAGGAGGUUUACUUUCUCAAGCGAGUGGCGAACGGGUGAGUAACGCGUGAGGAACCUGCCUCAAAGAGGGGGACAACAGUUGGAAACGACUGCUAAUACCGCAUAAGCCCACGACCCGGCAUCGGGUAGAGGGAAAAGGAGCAAUCCGCUUUGAGAUGGCCUCGCGUCCGAUUAGCUAGUUGGUGAGGUAACGGCCCACCAAGGCAACGAUCGGUAGCCGGACUGAGAGGUUGAACGGCCACAUUGGGACUGAGACACGGCCCAGACUCCUACGGGAGGCAGCAGUGGGGAAUAUUGCACAAUGGGGGAAACCCUGAUGCAGCGACGCCGCGUGGAGGAAGAAGGUCUUCGGAUUGUAAACUCCUGUUGUGAGGAAGAUAAUGACGUACUCAACAAGGAAGUGACGGUAA